Long non-coding RNA from Cygnus olor (mute swan), 3325 nucleotides. RefSeq lists it as uncharacterized. The record is from RefSeq and is a predicted model, not a curated record. The transcript is spliced from 3 exons. Lineage: Eukaryota; Metazoa; Chordata; Aves; Anseriformes; Anatidae.
GAAUCAUCAGCAAAUGCUGGAAUUUGGGCAGAAUGACUGCAACAUUUUAUAAAGUCUGACACAUAUUUGGUAUUACAGAAACUGGAUGAUUAUUACACAACUUCAGGCAACCAAGGGUUUGUAUAUGUAUAUCUGUCUCAUGAGACAGUUGUUUUCCUGUUCACUUCUUAGAAACAGCAUGAUAAAAGUGCCAGACCAAUAAUGAAAAGGCAACCAUGUGAGUAAGUAGACCAGUCCCACUCAGCUUUGCUUUUCUCUCCAAGAUGGAUCUAGAUACACAGAAACCAGAGGAAAUCAAUGGGGAGUUGAAGAGUAAUUUGAUUGCUGAGACCAGAGUGAAUACAGCUUAAGACUGAUCUCCAAAAAUAUUUUAGGAGGGGUUGGCUAGUGGAAGUAUUAUCUCUGAGUGUUUCUGUCACUCUCAUCACCUCUUAUGAAUCUGUUGCAGACUGUGAAGACCUUAAGUUGUCUGCCUAAUUGAGCACAGCUGUGCAGUGGCACAAAACUAACCAGGAAAUGAGCAUUUUGAUAAUUUCACAUUUCUAAAGCACCUCUUAAACAUCUCAUGUGAAAAUAGCAGUCGCAAUACCUUUAGAGAUCAACAACAUUGAACCAGAUUGAUCAUACUGAGCUGUCUCCUGCAGGCAUUUAGAAAAAUCCACUUUCAAGACAAAUUAGUAAAGGUUCCCUCAACUGUAACUGUCUUGUAACAUAAACAAAAUGUGUGUGGAAUAGAGACAAACUUUUCCAAGCUGCUCCAAGAAUGAAUUCUUGUCUUUUCACUAGUCUACUGCCAAUGAAGACUUCAUAUUUUUUUGUUUUAUAACAAUCAUCUCUACAUCAGUUUUCCAUUUGGGACUAUAGCCAGUGGAAAAGUGUAUAGACUUAUGAAAUACUCUGAAGUAAUUCAUAAUGUGUUGCUUUUUGUGAACAUCCUGUUUGUGAUUUCAGUCUUCAUCUUUACAAGUUAAAGAGCUGAUUCCUCAUUGAGCCAUAUCCUCAGAGGACAUAAAAUAGUCUGACUAAGUGCACUGAUAUAAGUCUGUUGAGUCACCCUUUUCUUAAAAAAGGAUUAAUUUAGAGAUUGCUUUUCUUUUUGAUUCAGAUUCAAAACUAGAAUGGAGGUCAUGAAUUCCUGAAUGUGAGUUUUAAGCAGGGUCAGAAAUCUGAGCAGAAUAGCUCAUGUGUGCCCAAACUUUGGCAUUCAUGAUUCUUGGCUGAACUUUAAUCCUAAACCUAACCCCAGAUACCUAGUACAGAAACACUGUUCUUUUGAAUUUAAUCUUGAUAUGAACAGAUCUACUCCAAACAUCUUGAUUCCUUCUAUACUAAUUUUGUAGUUCAGUAGUGUUUCUCACAUACCACUAAUCUUCUGUUCCAGAAAGUGGACAAUAGAGUAAAAAGAGAGAUCUUCAUGUUUUCAUCCAUGGUAAAAUAUCUUUUUCUGAAGUCUGGUUUUCUUUCUUUCCUUGAGUGUAGUCAAGUAUCAUUAAAAGGAACUUUAAAUAUAGUCAGGCUUUCAUAACUGGAGCUUGUAGACUUCUGUGGAGAUCUAAGUCACAAUAUGCAUUUCACUAGUUUAUUAUGCUUUUGUAUAUCUUGUUUACUUUGUGUGCAUUUUUGGUAAUAAAAAUGUAGCCAUAUAGGCAUUCUGAAAUGAUUCUGAGCUAUAAAAAUAAAUCAGACCAAGAGUUUCUUCAGCUACCCCCUAACACAAGUUCUGGGUAGGCCACUAAAUGCACGUUUACCUUUUUAAAAAUCUGUUUAUUCUGAAAUGAAUACAGCUCUCAAUCAAAUUUGAUUGUACUUUUUCACAUACAACAUGCAAGAAACAAUAAUGUCUCUGGUGUGAAAGGAAUGUACUUUCAAAUACAACAUUUUAUCCUCUAUGCCAAACUACAAUUGCUAUGUUUUGAAUAGUCUUUGUGUUUUCUUUUGUUUUGUUUUGUCUUGUUUUGUUUUGUUUUGAUUAAGAAAAAUAUGAUGCAAUUAUAGGAGACUAGACUUUCAAAGUCUCAUUUAUUCAAACUUGGUUGGAAUGGCUUGGUUUGUAACAUUUAUUAAGGGUCUGGAGAUGCCUAUAUAUAUCAAUUUCUUGGGGUGGGUAUGGGUUACACUCAUUUCUUCUUUUAACCAAAAGUAGAAAGGCUAGGCAGAAGGUAACCUGUGAAUGUAAAGUAAACAUUUACAACUGUUUUCCCCAAGUAUGACACAGAAUUUUAUCUCAUGACCUCGUAUCCCAAUAACUCUUAGGAGGUUUGUGACAGUCGUAUAGAAAAUUUUGUUAAUCUUUUCCCUUCUUUCCGUUUAUUUUUCUUUUUUUUCUCAGUCUAACUUCUAAGAACCAAAACAAAAUUACAGUUCAUAAAUAAAUAGAUAAGACCACGUAAGAAUUACAAAAUUAAAAAAAAAAAAAAAUCAUUGCCAAAGUAGAUGUUUCUCAAGGAAAACAAAUUUUUUUUUCUUUUUUUUUUUUUUCAAUAAACCUUAUUUUCUUAUGAUAAAAUUUCAGUUACAUAUAGUGGCAACUAAAAAUUACAGUAUUAUAACUUUUACUUCUUUUACAAACUCAAAAUGAAGGCUUAAUUUUUUCAGUAGGAAAAAAUGAAUAAAAUUCUUAGUAAGUACAUCUAUAUUUUAAGCACUGUAUCCCUCCUAACUCACUAUUAGGCUUUUCAUUAUGACCAUCCUUAGGCUCAUUUUAGAUUGAAUUGGGAAAUAACUUUCACUGUUGUAUGACCUUGUUAGCAGCAUUUACUGCCUGAGCAGGAACUAACAGAAUCUUCCUCUGGAUAUUUCAAGACUCAUAAGAUGUUCCAACUUUAAUUAACAAAUUCAAUUAAUAUAUGGCAGUUUGAAUUUUUUCUGUUUCCUGUAAUCUUGUGCAUGGCCUAUCUUAAAAACUUUUUGCACAGACGUGAGAGAGCUCCCCUGCAGAGUACUAUAGGGCCAAGUGAACAAUUAUGGUCAUGGCAGGUUCUCAAGGCCAAAUUGAAACUAAUUAUUAUCUUUUAAUACAGUUUCUUUUCUGCUGUGAAUACUUUAUAAUACAUUCAGUCACGUCGCACGAUACCUAUACAGUCCAGCAAUUAGAAAAUAUCCUUACUUUUUCUCUCUCUCUCUCUUUCUUUCUUUUUUAUGUAGAUUUUUUUAUUAAUCUAAAUAUUAUUAGUCUUUUUAUUUGUAGCUAAACCAGCACAUGCCAUCUUCAAUUUUUUUUGUCAGUUUUAAAGAACACUUCUUACCUCAGAACUGCCCCCUCCUUCUUCUACAGCAUAUUGAUAUAAAUGUUGAAAUAAAGAUUUCUCAUGUUUUUAACUUUGUG